This 383-nucleotide ribosomal RNA is filed under the name uncultured eukaryote. Its description in RNAcentral is "SSU rRNA". It matches the Rfam family "Eukaryotic small subunit ribosomal RNA", at positions 587 to 972 of the family's 1831-position model. The record is from RNAcentral.
AGCUCCAAUAGCGUAUACUAAAGUUGUUGCAGUUAAAAAGCUCGUAGUUGGAUUUCUGGUUGCGAAUAUCGGUCCGCUCCUCACGGAGUGUGCACCAGAUAUUUGCGUCCAUCCUCGGGGAGAGCGCCCUUGGCAUUAAGUUGUUGAGUGUGGGAUCCCCGUCAUUUACUGUGAGCAAAAUAGAGUGUUCAAAGCAGGCUUAGGCCGUUGAAUACAUUAGCAUGGAAUAAUAAGAUAGGACCUUGGUCUAUUUUGUUGGUUUGCACUCCAAGGUAAUGAUUAAUAGGGAUAGUUGGGGAUAUUCGUAUUCAAUUGUCAGAGGUGAAAUUCUUGGAUUUAUGGAAGACGAACUACUGCGAAAGCAUUUAUCAAGGAUGUUUUCA